Molecule: long non-coding RNA, 327 nt
Filed under: Selaginella moellendorffii
Lineage: Eukaryota; Viridiplantae; Streptophyta; Lycopodiopsida; Selaginellales; Selaginellaceae
Description: long non-coding RNA (SMOE_LNC002456)
Source: RNAcentral
CAGCGUUGCUGGAGCUAAAUCUUCUCUCAUGCCGAUCCCCCCAAAUGAUCCACGCCGCCGCGCCGGGUUCAGGCUCUUGGAUCGCGCGAUAUUCCCUUUCGCUGGCAAAUGCGAGCAGCAAGAACAGGGCAUUCGAUGGAUGCGGCGUCAAUCUUGUUCGAUUAUCGUCUCCUGGAACGCGAUGGUCACCGCGUAUGUGGCGGCAUCCCGCAUCCGAGAGUGAGAGUCUAUGUUUGAUUGCGUCUCAGAGCGCCAUGGAACUCGAUGAUAAUGGCUCUCGCGCAGCAGGGGCAAAUUGUGGCAGCGAAAUCGAGCUUGGGCAAAAAC